AUUGAACGCUGGCGGCAUGCUUUACACAUGCAAGUCGAACGGCAGCACGGGUGCUUGCACCUGGUGGCGAGUGGCGAACGGGUGAGUAAUGCAUCGGAACGUGCCCAUGAGUGGGGGAUAGCCCGGCGAAAGCCGGAUUAAUACCGCAUACGCCCUUAGGGGGAAAGCGGGGGGAUCUUCGGACCUCGCGGCUAUUGGAGCGGCCGAUGUCGGAUUAGCUAGUAGGUGAGGUAAAGGCUCACCUAGGCGACGAUCCGUAGCUGGUCUGAGAGGAUGAUCAGCCACACUGGGGACUGAGACACGGCCCAGACUCCUACGGGAGGCAGCAGUGGGGAAUUUUGGACAAUGGGCGCAAGCCUGAUCCAGCCAUGCCGCGUGAGUGAAGAAGGCCUCGG
RNAcentral lists this ribosomal RNA (395 nucleotides) under uncultured bacterium. RNAcentral's name for it is "bacterial SSU rRNA". It matches the Rfam family "Bacterial small subunit ribosomal RNA", at positions 28 to 420 of the family's 1533-position model. The record is from RNAcentral.